This 2653-nucleotide long non-coding RNA is filed under the name Canis lupus familiaris (dog). RNAcentral's name for it is "lncRNA (ENSCAFG00845021940.1)". Lineage: Eukaryota; Metazoa; Chordata; Mammalia; Carnivora; Canidae. The record is from RNAcentral.
UUUUUAUUUUAUUUUUAUUUUAUAUUUUAUUUUAUUUUAUUUUAUUUAUUUUAAUUUUUCCUCUGGUCUUUUGGAGGCACAAGCAGAAGGAGGCACAGCACGGGGAUGUCGGCCCCCCCAGGAGGCUGCCGCCAAGGGUUCCGGCACCCCGGGCCUCUGCACGGUAUCUUGGCUGCUCUGCAAACACCUCUGGUCUCUGCAAGAGGGAUGCGGGAGAGAAGGCAGUCGGAGGCGCACCGGGGGAGCUGGGAGCUGGGGUUCGCUACCUGAGCCCCCACCUACUGCCCUCCCCGAGGCCCCGUCUGGAUCCUCCCGCAGUUGCUCUGGCUGCCUCCUCAAGGGCUCUGAAAACCGCCCUUCGGGACUGGUAUGCUGCCUGGGAUCAAGGGGAGGGAAGGAACACAGCGUCAAAACUGAGGCCAACGCGGCUGCGGUGGGGCCAGGACGUGGGGCCAGGACCUGGGUCUGGAACCCCUGGGCGGGCCUGGGGCGAGGUGAGGGGAAGCUGUGCGGGACCUCGUUUUCUGGCUUCUCAAGAGAUUCUCCAGGACACGACUAUCGAACCUCUCUCCGGAGUCGCUAACACCGAGGUUUGGGAUAUGCAGAGCAUCUGCCUCUGGAUUUAUAAAUUCUGAGCCUUGGGGCACCCGCGGGGCUCAGGGGUUGAGCAUCUGCCUUCGGCUCGGGUCGUGACCCCGGGGUCCUGGGAUCGAGUGUGGCACCGAGAUCCCCGCCGGGAGCCUGCUUCUCCCUCUGCCUGGGUCUCUGCCCCUCUCAUGAACAAAUAAAUAAAAUAUUUUAAAAAGAUAAAUAAAUCCAGAGCCUCAUCAGGCGUGCAUUAACCCCUUCUGCUGUCGUCAGUGCUGCAGCCACAGGGCUCAGGACCCUGGGACACGAGGCAGCAGUGGGGGACCGCCGCGCUACCCCCCGCCCCACGGACGUUGGGCCUGGCCACACGGCUCGUUGAGGCCAUGGAGCGUGGGCAGGACUGGCAGGGCGCACGACGCCCCCGGUCCUUGGGGAGUUUCUGGCCAGCGCAUCCACUGUUCCCCUCCCCCGGGCACGUGGGGCACACGGCCUCUGACCGGCAGCCUGAAGCAGAGCGCUGGGGACCCCCGGGCCCCGGAGGGAAGCCCAAGUGCUUGCUGCUUUAGGCCGCCCCCGUGUUUCUUCGGCACCCGUGGCUCGUGCGAACUUGCCCGCACCUCCUCAAAUCGGGUCCCUCUGCAGGUGUAGCGCUCCACGCGUGUUACAGAGCAGCUGUGACAAGGUGCUCCACACUUGCCCUUGUCCGAGGCUCCCUCCUGAGGUCAUGGGAAGACACAAAGCUGUUGUGCUUUCGUAAACAUCGAGGUAUAACCGGACACACGUUUUAUCAGUUUCAGGUGCACAUCACGGUGAUUUGACGUUCGCCUCCGUUAUGAUCUCAUCUGUCCCCUCACAGUCAGACUUUGUAGAUAGAAGGUGCAAGACAAUGAGAAGCAGACGCAUAUUUAAGUGGCCACAGCCGUGGGGUGGGGGCACUCCUACAGAGACAAGGGCCAAGGGGAGCUCAUGGUGGUGUCACUCUGCUCCCCCCGGACGGGGGUCUGCACCUGUUGGGCCGCGGGAGCCUCUUCUGCACAGGACUCGGUCGCAUCCUCCCGUCCUCGGGCAUAGGCAGCAGUAGGAGGAGAGCAGGGGCCAGGUGCUCGCUUCCUUGGGGCUGCCGGCCAGUCACCCCGGUCACCCCGCGGCUGGCUGCGUCCUCGCCAGCAGCACAGAGGGGCUCUCCGGGGCCCAACAGCCGCCCUCCCGGGGGGGCAGAUGCAGCCAGCUGGGGUGCCUCUCCUUGGUUUCCAGAACUCCACCCCACAACUUUGCAGCAGGACUCACGAUUCCCCCACGUGAGCAGGGGACAGGCUGUCCUGCCAGAAAGGCAGGGGGCACGUAGCAGUCCCACGGACACCUGCUUCCAGGACGGCUUGUUCGGAGGGAGCCUGGCCGGCUCAGUCGGUGGAGCGUGCCACUUUGGAUCUCGGGGGUUGUGAAUUCAAGCCCCACGUCGGGGUGCGGUGAUUACUUUAAAAAGCAAAAUAAGAAGAAAUGAAAGCAAAAUGGGACUUCGGAAAGCUUUGCUUAUGGAAGUACAAUCCUUGGCCAUCCAGGAAAAAACCAGAAAUUCGAUUGCCCUCACUGGGUGUUUACCUGCCACGCGCCGCCCACCGGCUUACUCAGUCCCCAAGACACAUGCUGCCACAAGCAGCGUGCAAUCGCUGCACAAACACGGGCAUCAGCCCUAACUCCCUGCAGGUUCUGGAGAGCCUGGGUUUCCCAGCUCUUUAAGGACGCCGGGAGUCCCUUUCCUGCACCCCGUGUGGCUUCCUGGGGCACAAAGGAAGGGAAGCAGCCUUAAGUGAAGGAAACCACGCGGGCAGGUGCAACAGCAGACGGAAGAGAGAGACCCUUGGGGCCGAAACCACGGAGUGACACGAGCGCCCGAAGUUCUGGGGAGGGCGACUCGCGGAGGCAGUACUGCCAACGGACUGGAUGCACAAUGUGGUGCUGAGCUGAGCCAGCGGCUUUUAAGCUACUACUGAGGGGCGCCUGGGCGGCUCGGUCGGUGAAGCGUCGGCCUUCAGCUCAGGUCAGACUCAGGGCCCUGCGAUCGAGC